Molecule: ribosomal RNA, 301 nt
Filed under: uncultured bacterium
Lineage: Bacteria
Description: partial 16S ribosomal RNA
Rfam family: Bacterial small subunit ribosomal RNA
Source: RNAcentral
CAGCCGCCACGGUAAUACGAAGGGGGCUAGCGUUGUUCGGAUUUACUGGGCGUAAAGCGCACGUAGGCGGAUCGAUCAGUCAGGGAUGAAAUCCUGGAGCUCAACUCCAGAACUGCCUUUGAUACUGUCGAUCUCGAGUCCGGAAGAGGUGAGUGGAAUUCCUAGUGUAGAGGUGGAAUUCGUAGAUAUUAGGAAGAACACCAGUGGCGAAGGCGGCUCACUGGUCCGGUACUGACGCUGAGGUGCGAGAGCGUGGGGAGCAAACAGGAUUAGAUACCCCCGUAGUCCCUGUCUCUUAUAC